This 2087-nucleotide long non-coding RNA is filed under the name Mus musculus (house mouse). RNAcentral's name for it is "long non-coding RNA chr3:68608370-68610457". Lineage: Eukaryota; Metazoa; Chordata; Mammalia; Rodentia; Muridae. The record is from RNAcentral.
GCUUUUAAGGCAAUCUUACUAUGAAACCAAACCUAAGUAGCAACCUCUAAAUGUUUCUCAGUAUGACCACAAGAGAAGUGAAUGCUAUGGUUUUUUUUUUUAUUUUGAAAAGUAUAAAACAACAUGAAUUAAAAUAUUCACCUUGGAGUUAGAGUGGAGCUCAAAGUUGGUAUGUGUGAGGCUCUGGGUUCUGUCCAAUCACCAAAAAGAAAAGACAGACAAACAAAUCCUACUAACCUAGUUAUUCUAAAACACACACACACACUACUGACAUUCUCAGCCAUAUUUUCAUCGGAACCUCUUAGGCACCUAACAAAAGAAUGCUUCCUCCUUUACCGUGCGCAGCUCUAGUAGCUGUUAGCAGGAGAAAAAAGUUUCAGUUGUGUCGGGGACUGAGCGGAGAAAUUAGGAUGGCUGGCUUUGAAAAAUAGUUAAGUUUUUGCCAGUUGCCUAGGGGCUCUGAUUUACCGCAGGCACGUGGAGAAGUGUAGGCUUGAGAUCAGGAGAGAUGUCUGGGGGUGAGUGGGAGAGCUUGUCCACGGAACUGUUCACCCACAGGGAGGCGGGUUCCCAGCUGCCUACGGUUCAUCUCCCACUGUCCACAGCAACGUGCCAAAGGCAGAGCUCAGGCUGAUUCGGGUGUGAGUCACACUCCCGCUUCGGUGCGGUCUGAGUCAGAUGGCAGCUGUCGAACACUGAGCCCCACUCACCUUCCCUCCAACGCACAGGCUCUACCGCCAACUCUCAUCCUCUCUCCUUUGCCUUGUCUAGUUCUUACCAAGUGCCCACACAUGACAACUCAGAGGCAUUCGAGGGAGACGAGUCUAAAGUCAACUUGAUGCCUUCCACCAAGAACUGUUUAAGUCUGUUUCUUCCCAUCUUACCUAAACAUUUGAGAUUACUCAUUUUCUCUAUUUUUGUGGGGUAGGGAGCACAUGUGUGCCACGGCACAUGCGCAAAGGUCAGAAGACAACUUGAGUCGGCUCUUUCCGUUAUGGUGAGCCCUGGGAUUGAAAUUAGCUCAUCAGGCGCAGCAGAAGGGGACCUUUCCUGCCGAGCUAUUGAGCUGGCAUUUUUAUGCAUAAAAUUGGAGUCACACUGCAGCUACUCUUUGUUGACCCUUUUUUUACUUAAGACUGUAUCAGGCCAUUUCAGCCAUUUUCUCAGCUAUUCCAAUGUGUGUGUGUGUGUGUGUGUGUGUGUGCAUACCUGUGCGUUUGCUAGCUGAGUAACUCAUCAUAUUUCAUCUUUUAUUCUUAAGCAUUUUAGUUUCCAGAUUUUUGUUUCGUUUUGGUUUUAUUUUGCUUGUGUUUUCAUCUUCUCUUUUAUUCUCAUUUAUGAAUUCAUUUUACCCUUCUGAAAGUGUCCUAGCCCCUCAGGAGGGAGGACACAUACCACUGUGACUUUGUGCAGUUGUACCUGUCUGGGACUUUGUUUUUCCUACAUAAAGCAAGGUCCCCACUCAUAAGUAAGGUGGGCAAAGUGCCUGGCACACAACGGAUGCUAUCAGACGGCAACUUUUUAUUUCAUAAGUAGGCUGCUUGGAAAUCGUCAGAACUCAAUUAAGAUGAAAAUAGAUCACAUUUGACCUCUAGCUAUCUUAUGCCUACUAUCCUAAGAGGGCUCGUUCUUGCCUUCCAUUCAUACUGAAGAGUAUUCCUCUUGAAAAUACAUUUUGCAGACAUUAAAAUCCUGUAAUUCCGAAUUCAAUUACAGGGAAGUGGUCAUCAGUGAAAGAAAUUGGCACUGAUGUGGAAUGAGAACCAACAGCUGUCUGAGGAAUGCAAGUAUUUAUAGCUCUCUGGAGCCCAGGUUAGGAAGCGGGCUGACACUUCUCCAGAGGAAAGCUCGUGGGUGGCCGACCUACCUACUGGCUGCUUAGUCACAGAGACUGUAUGGCCAUGAGGUCUUGGAAGCCUGUCAGCUGAGCGCUGAACACGUACAGAAAGAAGAAUUGAGAACUAGCCUUAGAGCAGAAAUGGGGACUGUGUAUUUGCUAUAGAGAAGAAAACCCAGGCACAGCUGUUCACAGGCCCACUGCCUGUAGUGCUAUUUCCUCUUCUCUUAAGAUGCCAGGUCAGACGUAU